UAGCCUCUAAUUUAUCUGCCUAUUAUCAUUUGACCUGAGCCAGACAUCCCAAAAUCCUGAGAUGAUCAAGACUCAGUUUCUUACCAUAUCACAUUGAGUUCAAGCAAGCUCCAACAACAAUAAAUCAGUCGAAUAAAGGGUUUUUAUGGUUGUAUAAAUUUUUAUUUCUAAAAUUUUUGUAACAAGUUUCAGAAGGGUUGAAACUUGAACGGAGGAUUUGAUCCAAACCUUGAUUUAGAUUGGAAGCCUUGGG
This 253-nucleotide long non-coding RNA is filed under the name Elaeis guineensis (African oil palm). Its description in RNAcentral is "long non-coding RNA (EGUI_LNC046426)". The record is from RNAcentral. Lineage: Eukaryota; Viridiplantae; Streptophyta; Magnoliopsida; Arecales; Arecaceae.